AUUUAAUCCUGUACGAAAGGUGAAAUCCAGAUAAUUUUUGAUAAACUGGGCCCAGGAUUGUGUCCAAGUGAGCACCAUCUAGUGGUCCAUUUACUGUGUCCCCAAUCAAUCAAUUGGUGGGCAGUGCGUCUGCAGGGGUGGUGUCCAAUUAACCGUCACAUCAGGUCAUUGUUCUGUUUCUGGAAGGCAGAGGGUUGGUAUGUUUGAUAGAACUUUGUAAAAACCAAAUGUAAGAUUUUGGAUUGAUUUGUAGGUCUAUGCAUGUUGGUAAUGGGACAUUUAGAUCACUAAAGUUCACAUUUAGUUUAGAGUGAUUAACACUAUGCUUAGCAUAAUUAUAUUUUCCCUUUCUGUAACACACAUGACGUCCAGUGUUGGUGACACUCAAGAUGAUUAUGUCUAAGUCCACUUCAAAGCCUUCCAGGCUCUUGGAUUUUAUGUUCUGUGCUGGCUUUGUGUUGGGGUUCUGUCUCUGUUUCAUUGCCAUUGCUUACUACAAAGCACAUCAGCUCUCUCAGGAGACAGUGCCCUUGUCCUCACGGACCAGCAGCCUCUUGGGUGAGCUCCCUUCAGUACACUACUCUGCUGUUGCCACUAAUGCCUCAGUCCUCUCGCCAUUGCCUCCCUCCCCCACCCCUUCUUCGGGUCGACUGCUCUGCUGGGUGUUGACCUCACCCCAGACUCUGUGGACCAGAGCUAAACACAUAGUGAACACCUGGGGGCCUCGCUGUGACACACUGCUCUUCAUGAGCUCUAAGCCGGACCUCCUGUUCCCUGGGACCGUGCUGGCUUUGGCAACAGAGGAGGGACGGGCCAACCUGUACAAUAAGACCAUGGCCGCUUUCAACUUACUGCAUGACGGGUA
Molecule: long non-coding RNA, 865 nt
Organism: Oncorhynchus tshawytscha (Chinook salmon)
Lineage: Eukaryota; Metazoa; Chordata; Actinopteri; Salmoniformes; Salmonidae
Source: Ensembl